Alosa alosa (allis shad) is the source of this 331-nucleotide long non-coding RNA. RefSeq lists it as uncharacterized. The transcript has 5 exons. NCBI's taxonomy places the organism in Eukaryota, Metazoa, Chordata, Actinopteri, Clupeiformes, Clupeidae. The record is from RefSeq and is a predicted model, not a curated record.
CAAGAGAGUUCACUCACCAGUGGGCUCCAUCAACAGACCAGGGCAAAGUCGGUCUGUCCUGCUACUACUACAUGCUACUUGACUAUGUCUGGAAGCCAUGGCUGCUGCCCUCAACAUGCUAAACUGAAACCCUCACAAAUAAACUGAUAUCAAUAAUUGGUGAUAACAUAACAUUGAUGGUGAUGGUGGCAAGGGUGCCUUCAUAAGGUGCCAUCCAGCAAGUCCCAGCCUGGAGCCAGAGGCUGGCACUGCACGUCAGAUGGGGGAGGAUCUAUGUUAGGCAUCAGAAAGACACCUGACUUUUACUGCCAAAGGGACCAUCAGAGCACCU